Molecule: long non-coding RNA, 502 nt
Filed under: Pan troglodytes (chimpanzee)
Lineage: Eukaryota; Metazoa; Chordata; Mammalia; Primates; Hominidae
Description: long non-coding RNA NONPTRT014909
Source: RNAcentral
UCCUGCCCUCUUCUGUGCCUUCUGGAACAGAGAGUAUUGCCAGAAAGAGAGUACUGGAAGGGCGAUUCUACUGGUUCUUAGAAGUAACUUUGACGCCAACCCUCACUACUUACAGCUCUGAAAUGAGAAAGACGGUGAUGUAGGCGUUACUGGUUGUGAGGAUGGAAUUACACGGACUGCAGAAAUGCACAACGAAUCCCUUACUUUAAAAAUGCUCGGUGAAGAGGAGACCGCUGGGGAGUAAAAUGCAGUGUGAUGUGAGCAGCAGUGGAGAUGGGCGUGGACCGGCAGAGGAAGGAGUGAAGGAUUCUCAUCUCAUGGGCUGCGGAGGCUUCCAGAAAUACCACCUGGUCCAGGUAUUCCAUACAACAGAUCCAGGUCAGAGUCUGUCACAAGGAAGCUGUUGGCCAGCCUGCCAAGGAGGAGGAAACACGAAGCUCUCGGUCCACCUGCGUUCUCUGUGAGGGAGCCUCCUAUGGCACUGUUAUCUGUGGCACAGGUG